GCAAUAAACCCAAACUUGCAUAGAUAUAGUCAACUAUGAAGAGCUUGAACAGUGUUUUCAGGACUGACAUUUACAGACGAGUGGGAAAUCAAAGACUGGAAUGCUGGGAGAACGCUGGGGAAACUGACGAAGGGGUGAGCUCUGGAAAGGAGGAAGGAUACUUCCUGUUCCUGCUGGAGUGACCCACAGGUCUGAGGAGGAGUGAGGGAGAGGAAGGCGGAGAAAGAAGGUGGCCAGAUGAGUGGCAGGGAUCCAGAGGGUUCCACCGCUCGCAUUCUCACACCCAGAAUCCUCUGUUGCGGCCCAGCUGCCUCUCUGGCUACCUGAACCUCAUCAACUCAACACCCCCCUCACAUAACAU
Long non-coding RNA from Sinocyclocheilus anshuiensis, 361 nucleotides. RefSeq lists it as uncharacterized. The record is from RefSeq and is a predicted model, not a curated record. The transcript is spliced from 3 exons. Lineage: Eukaryota; Metazoa; Chordata; Actinopteri; Cypriniformes; Cyprinidae.